Molecule: ribosomal RNA, 498 nt
Filed under: uncultured bacterium
Lineage: Bacteria
Description: partial 16S ribosomal RNA
Rfam family: Bacterial small subunit ribosomal RNA
Source: RNAcentral
GACGAGCGCUGGCGGCGUGCCUAAUACAUGCAAGUCGAGCGGACGAUUCGAAAGCUUGCUUUUGAAUCGUUAGCGGCGGACGGGUGAGUAACACGUGGGCAACCUGCCCUGUAGACGGGGAUAACACCGAGAAAUCGGUGCUAAUACCGGAUAACACGAAAUGUCGCAUGACGUUUCGUUGAAAGGCGGCGCAAGCUGCCGCUACAGGAUGGGCCCGCGGCGCAUUAGCUAGUUGGUGAGGUAACGGCUCACCAAGGCGACGAUGCGUAGCCGACCUGAGAGGGUGAUCGGCCACACUGGGACUGAGACACGGCCCAGACUCCUACGGGAGGCAGCAGUAGGGAAUCUUCCGCAAUGGACGAAAGUCUGACGGAGCAACGCCGCGUGAGCGAAGAAGGCCUUCGGGUCGUAAAGCUCUGUUGUUAGGGAAGAACAAGUAACGUAGUAACUGACGUUACUAUGACGGUACCUAACGAGAAAGCCACGGCUAACUACGUG